This 260-nucleotide ribosomal RNA is filed under the name unidentified marine bacterioplankton. Its description in RNAcentral is "partial 16S ribosomal RNA". It matches the Rfam family "Bacterial small subunit ribosomal RNA", at positions 48 to 339 of the family's 1533-position model. The record is from RNAcentral. RNAcentral also lists the same sequence under 1 other name.
UUAACACAUGCAAGUCGAACGAACCUUCGGGUUAGUGGCGGACGGGUGAGUAACGCGUGAGAAUCUGCCCUCAGGAGGGGGAUAACGGCUGGAAACGGCCGCUAAUACCCCAUAUGCCGCGAGGUGAAAUGAAUUUCGCCUGAGGAUGAGCUCGCGUCUGAUUAGCUAGUUGGUGGGGUAAGAGCCUACCAAGGCAUCGAUCAGUAGCUGGUCUGAGAGGAUGAUCAGCCACACUGGGACUGAGACACGGCCCAGACUCC